AUCAGCAAAGUAACCAUCUCCUCUGCUUCACUGCGUUGAACCUGCUGUCCAUCCUCUUGGUCUGUUCUCUGCUUUUCAUGACGUCAAACUGAGAAGACUUUAAUUUGGACUGAUUUUAUGCACUAGUGAAGUUAUUUUGGCCUGUAAGGCUUUUAAAGCAGAAUACGCUACAAUAAUGCAACUUAAACACUGAAUUUCUGCAGUUAACAGUGGACUGGCGUAAAACUAGCUGGAUACUUGGCUCUUCUAAUGCUGUUCUUGGCAGAACUGGUCUUCAUUUAAUUGGUUUCCUGGCACCACCCGGCUUUUAAACAUCGUCUGUUAAUUUUCUGCAGGGUUUGGGUCCUGAAGCUUAAUAUUAUGAGGAAAUAUUUAUGUUGCAACAUAAACAGAUUCUGCUUGCUGACGAUGACUACCGUUAGCUUUAGCUGUCAAGUUGUCAACAUAAUGCACUAAAUCUUAAAUGUACACUUCAUAUAUAGAAGAAAAAAAGGAUGCAGUGCUUUGCCAACAUAACUAAUUAGAUAACGAAAUUCUACAGUAUAACAUUUCACAGGUCAAGAAGAAGUUUUAAUUAAAAAUAAAAGUUAGUGAGAGAGAAUGAAUUAGGUCAUUUAUGACAACCUUAACAGGUAGAUGUGCUGCAGAAUUUGGUGUGUUUCAGUUCAGCUAAAAUAAAAAUAUUAAUAAUAAAAAGGCAACCCACACACAACAACAUAUGAACAGUGGAGCAGGUGGUUAAAUUAGCUUAUCAACCACUGCUGUGUUAGAUUAACAUGCAUCUUAUGUUUCAAUGCGACUUACACUGCUGGUUCUGACGUUAGAAAAGUCCUUCAGAGGAAAGUUUAAGCCUAUCUGGGUUACUGUGCCUUGAAACCAGAUAAAGAACUGUAUCAUUUCUGCCAAAAAAUAAUAGGGAUCUAAAGUCCAGAAUUAUUACACUGCAAAAACACAAAA
Poecilia latipinna (sailfin molly) is the source of this 957-nucleotide long non-coding RNA. RefSeq lists it as uncharacterized. The record is from RefSeq and is a predicted model, not a curated record. The transcript has 2 exons. NCBI's taxonomy places the organism in Eukaryota, Metazoa, Chordata, Actinopteri, Cyprinodontiformes, Poeciliidae.